RNAcentral lists this ribosomal RNA (208 nucleotides) under uncultured bacterium. Its description in RNAcentral is "partial 16S ribosomal RNA". It matches the Rfam family "Bacterial small subunit ribosomal RNA", at positions 568 to 774 of the family's 1533-position model. The record is from RNAcentral.
CAUCUAGGCGGUCAAUCAAGUCGAAGGUGAAAACUUGUGGCUCAACCAUAAGCUUGCCUACGAAACUGAUUAACUAGAGUACUGGAGAGGUGGACGGAACUACACGAGUAGAGGUGAAAUUCGUAGAUAUGUGUAGGAAUGCCGAUGAUGAAGAUAGUUCACUGGACAAAAACUAGACGCUGAAGUGCGAAAGCUAGGGGAGCAAACA